RNAcentral lists this long non-coding RNA (659 nucleotides) under Elaeis guineensis (African oil palm). RNAcentral describes it as "long non-coding RNA (EGUI_LNC028080)". Lineage: Eukaryota; Viridiplantae; Streptophyta; Magnoliopsida; Arecales; Arecaceae. The record is from RNAcentral.
AUGUGAAACUUGGUUAUAUAGUGGUAUGAAACUGGGUUAUAAGAAAAUGGAUUCACUUAAUAUGUUAUGCAACAGUAGACUUUGCAUUGGUCAAAUAAAGUGCAUUGUGCCAAAUGAAAAAUAUAUUAUGCCAGAUUGAAAUAUAUUAUAUCAAAUUGAAAUGUAUCAUGUCAAAUAGUUCCAACAGAGGUUUGGAAAUUUCUUGACAACUAUAUAUACUACUGUGAUUAUGUAUGAAAUCGUAUGUAACAUAUCAAAUUAUGAGUAUAUACCUCUUGAAAUUGCAUGUAUCACUUGAGAUGGGAAUAAUUAUGUACGACCUCAAUUGUCAUCACAACAUCUCAAUAACAAAUUAUCUGUUGGGAUGCGAGGAGUUUUAUGUAUGCAUUUCAAAAAUUUUUCAGUGAAAAAAUAUUAGAUUAAACUAUUUAAUCUAUAAAUACAUACAUAAGAUCUGAUUUUAAAACUCCUAUAAAUGGAUCUAUGAUAUUAAUUUACAUGCAUAAAAAUUUGAAUUUAAAAUAACAAAAAUGUAAAUAAAAAUUUAGCACACUAUGAUAGAUCUAAUCUACCACUGUGAGGGGUCCGAACCAAAUAUCUGAGCACGGAUAGUCAAACUUCAUGAUUGAGAAUAUGAAUCUAGAAGUCCUUUCUAGUUG